GUAGGUGGCAAGCGUUGUCCGGAAUUAUUGGGGCGUAAAGCGCGCGCAGGCGGUUCUUUAAGUCUGAUGUGAAAGCCCACGGGCUCAACCGUGGAGGGUCAUUGGAAACUGGAGAACUUGAGUACAGAAGAGGAAAGCGGAAUUCCACGUGUAGCGGUGAAAUGCGUAGAGAUGUGGAGGAACACCAGUGGCGAAGGCGGCUUUCUGGUCUGUAACUGACGCUGAGGCGCGAAAGCGUGGGGAGCAAACAGGAUUAGAUACCCUGGUAGUCCACGCCGUAAACGAUGAGUGCUAAGUGUUAGGGGGUUUCCGCCCCUUAGUGCUGCAGCUAACGCAUUAAGCACUCCGCCUGGGGAGUACGGCCGCAUGGCUG
Molecule: ribosomal RNA, 373 nt
Filed under: uncultured organism
Description: partial 16S ribosomal RNA
Rfam family: Bacterial small subunit ribosomal RNA
Source: RNAcentral